AUUGAACGCUGGCGGCAGGCUUAACACAUGCAAGUCGAGCGGGGGAAGGUAGCUUGCUACCGGACCUAGCGGCGGACGGGUGAGUAAUGCUUAGGAAUCUGCCUAUUAGUGGGGGACAACACCUCGAAAGGGAUGCUAAUACCGCAUACGUCCUACGGGAGAAAGCAGGGGAUCUUCGGACCUUGCGCUAAUAGACGAGCCUAAGUCGGAUUAGCUAGUUGGUGGGGUAAAGGCCUACCAAGGCGACGAUCUGUAGCGGGUCUGAGAGGAUGAUCCGCCACACUGGGACUGAGACACGGCCCAGACUCCUACGGGAGGCAGCAGUGGGGAAUAUUGGACAAUGGGGGGAACCCUGAUCCAGCCAUGCCGCGUGUGUGAAGAAGGCCUUAUGGUUGUAAAGCACUUUAAGCGAGGAGGAGGCUACUUUAGUUAAUACCUAGAGAUAGUGGACGUUACUCGCAGAAUAAGCACCGGCUAACUCUGUGCCAGCCGCCGCCGUAA
This 501-nucleotide ribosomal RNA is filed under the name uncultured bacterium. RNAcentral's name for it is "partial 16S ribosomal RNA". It matches the Rfam family "Bacterial small subunit ribosomal RNA", at positions 30 to 523 of the family's 1533-position model. The record is from RNAcentral.